GACGAACGCUGGCGGCGUGCUUAACACAUGCAAGUCGAACGCUGAAGCUCAGCUUGCUGGGUGGAUGAGUGGCGAACGGGUGAGUAACACGUGAGUAACCUGCCCUCUUCUUUGGGAUAACGCCCGGAAACGGGUGCUAAUACUGGAUAUUCACUGAUUCUCGCAUGGGGGUUGGUGGAAAGGUUUUUUCUGGUGGGGGAUGGGCUCGCGGCCUAUCAGCUUGUUGGUGGGGUGAUGGCCUACCAAGGCUUUGACGGGUAGCCGGCCUGAGAGGGUGACCGGUCACAUUGGGACUGAGAUACGGCCCAGACUCCUACGGGAGGCAGCAGUGGGGAAUAUUGCACAAUGGGCGAAAGCCUGAUGCAGCGACGCCGCGUGAGGGAUGGAGGCCUUCGGGUUGUAAACCUCUUUCGCUCAUGGUCAAGCCGCAGUUUUGGGUUGUGGUGAGGGUAGUGGGUAAAGAAGCGCCGGCUAACUACGUG
Molecule: ribosomal RNA, 482 nt
Filed under: uncultured bacterium
Lineage: Bacteria
Description: partial 16S ribosomal RNA
Rfam family: Bacterial small subunit ribosomal RNA
Source: RNAcentral